This 440-nucleotide ribosomal RNA is filed under the name uncultured bacterium. RNAcentral's name for it is "partial 16S ribosomal RNA". It matches the Rfam family "Bacterial small subunit ribosomal RNA", at positions 339 to 795 of the family's 1533-position model. The record is from RNAcentral.
CUACGGGUCGCUGCAGUGAGGAAUAUUGCACAAUGGGGGGAACCCUGAUGCAGCAACGCCGCGUGGAGGAUGACGCAUUUCGGUGUGUAAACUCCUUUUAUAUGUCAAGAAAAUGACGGUAGCAUAUGAAUAAGCACCGGCUAACUCCGUGCCAGCAGGCCGCGGUAAUACGGAGGGUGCAAGCGUUAUUCGGAAUCACUGGGCGUAAAGGACGCGUAGGCGGGUUGGAAAGUCAGGUGUGAAAUCCUACAGCUUAACUGUAGAACUGCACUUGAAACUUCUAAUCUAGAGUAUGGGAGGGGGAGAUGGAAUUAGUGGUGUAGGGGUAAAAUCCGUAGAUAUCACUAGGAAUUCCUAAAGCGAAGGCGAUCUCCUGGAACAUUACUGACGCUAAGGCGUGAAAGCGUGGGGAGCAAACAGGAUUAGAUACCCUCGUAGUC